This is a long non-coding RNA of Pan troglodytes (chimpanzee), 1644 nucleotides long. RefSeq lists it as uncharacterized. The record is from RefSeq and is a predicted model, not a curated record. NCBI's taxonomy places the organism in Eukaryota, Metazoa, Chordata, Mammalia, Primates, Hominidae. The transcript is spliced from 3 exons.
UCCCUGUGGACGGACAUUUUUAUGUAAAGGAAUGUGAGAUGGGUCCUUGAGGAGCAUCUUUCUGGAGAUUAUUCCAUUUUUAGUUGAUCGAGGAAGAGUCUCUGGUUAUUCUUCCCAGCUAUCAGGACCUUGAGUGUCACCAAUCCGUUUGACAUUUCUUGAACUUCAGAGACCAGAAUGCAGAAUUCCUAUCUCAUUUCAACCAGGAGCAACGAUUUUAUAAUUAAAAAAAACUGCAUGGAAGAAAAUUAUAAGAAAUAUUACCCAUUCUCUUGGAUCUCCUCAUGCCACUUCACUGCUAAAAAUUUGAUUACUUGCGUUACCAACAAGAUCUCAAAUCUCUUGCUCUCACUUGCAAAACCUUUCAUCUUUGGAUCAUACUACUGCCAAUUACCUUAUGCCCCUUCAACAUGUGUCUAUUCUGUUCGAUAAACUCACCAUGGAAGUUAAGUCUCCAUGACUCUGCUGCUGUUAUUCCCUCUGCCUGGAUUUAUCUUACUUUCUGCCUUACAUUCAAACACCUUUAGCAUUCAAAAUCACUUCUAAUAUCACUGAGACUCUCAAACAGAAUUAACAGACCCUCAGGCAAAUUAUAUAGCAUAUCAUACUUGGUUUCAUCUGUAAAAUGUAAGUAUUAUGUGAAAUAAUACCCAUAAAAUACAUAUAAUAGUUUCUAACAUAUAGCAGCCACUCAAUAAAUGUAACUUAUCAGUAGCUAUCCUUUUUUAUGCUUCUGUAACACUUACUAUUUCAUAGUUGCAAUUCUAUUUAAUUACUCUUUAUCUUCUGUUGUAUCAUAAGCAAACUUUGGGACUUAUACAAAGCCUUCUACAUUAUGCGCCCUCAUAUUAAAUGUUGAUUGAAUAAACGUAUCAUCAUAGGUAACGUGAGUUUUUAUAUUAACAAAAAGUUAGUAGAAAAUCUAUUAAUAGUAAAAAAUAAAAUUAUAUUCCAUAUAUUAAUAUUUUUAUGAUAGUAGGACAAGUUAUAGAAAUGUAUUCUUCCUUGGGAAGAGAAGGUGGUUGAUGAUUUAUCAUUUAACUACAUUAGAGAAGAACUUCAUGUUUUUAACUGGGACCAACCUCCAUGUGGUGAUAUUCUUUCCAGGCAUGCAUAGCUAUCAGGCUCCUGGUCUUUCAUCAAAUAUGUCAACCCUAUUCCUUGUUGACAUGACAGUAGAAGAAUAUGGACCUCUACUUGACAGUUAAUCUGAAAAUGUCUACUCAAGAGAUAUUUUUUUCUAAGAAAAACUCUCAAAUUUAUUUAUGUGUACUAAAUUAUACUUGCUAUGCUUCGGAUGUGUCCCCUCUUGGAGGUGUUGCCAAUAUGAUAGUAUUAUUAAGCAGUGGGGUCUUUAUGCGUUAUUAGACCAUGAGGGCUCCUCCCUUGUGAAUGGGAUUAAGGUGCUUACGGUAGUGGCUUCAUGCAGUGCUAGGCUAUUUUGCCGUUCUGUCUUCCAACAUAUGAGAACACAGUGUUCCUCCCCUUCAGAAGAUUCAGCCCUCACCUGACAAGUGAACCUGCUGGCACCUUGAUAUUGGACUUCCCACUCCACAGAACUGUGAGAAAAUAAAUCUGUUCUUUAUAAAUUACCUGGUUUUAGGUAGUCUGUUAUAACAGCACAAAAUGGACUAUGAUGCUUGU